RNAcentral lists this ribosomal RNA (554 nucleotides) under Hansenula anomala. RNAcentral's name for it is "LSU rRNA". It matches the Rfam family "Eukaryotic large subunit ribosomal RNA", at positions 49 to 604 of the family's 3401-position model. Lineage: Eukaryota; Fungi; Ascomycota; Saccharomycetes; Phaffomycetales; Wickerhamomycetaceae. The record is from RNAcentral.
UACGGAGGAAAAGGAAACCAACAGGGAUUGCCUCAGUAACGGCGAGUGAAGCGGCAAAAGCUCAAAUUUGAAAUCUAGCACCUUCGGUGUUCGAGUUGUAAUUUGAAGAUGGUAACCUUGGGUUUGGCUCUUGUCUAUGUUCCUUGGAACAGGACGUCAUAGAGGGUGAGAAUCCCGUCUGAUGAGAUGCCCAUUCCUAUGUAAGGUGCUAUCGAAGAGUCGAGUUGUUUGGGAAUGCAGCUCUAAGUGGGUGGUAAAUUCCAUCUAAAGCUAAAUAUUGGCGAGAGACCGAUAGCGAACAAGUACAGUGAUGGAAAGAUGAAAAGAACUUUGAAAAGAGAGUGAAAAAGUACGUGAAAUUGUUGAAAGGGAAGGGCAUUAGAUCAGACUUGGUGUUUUACGAUUAUCUUCUCUUCUUGAGUUGUGCACUCGUAUUUCACUGGGCCAGCAUCGAUUCGGAUGGCAAGAUAAUGGCAGUUGAAUGUGGCUUCACUUCGGUGGAGUGUUAUAGCUUCUGCUGAUAUUGCCUGUCUGGAUCGAGGGCUGCGUCUUUG